GCCAACUACUGGGACAUAGUCGUACAGAAAAUGUUGUGUUGUUCGAUUCCAAUGUUAACUGUAAGACUGUGUCUUGGUUUCUUGGU
Molecule: microRNA precursor, 86 nt
Filed under: Musca domestica (house fly)
Lineage: Eukaryota; Metazoa; Arthropoda; Insecta; Diptera; Muscidae
Description: mir-999 microRNA precursor family
Rfam family: mir-999 microRNA precursor family
Source: Rfam by way of RNAcentral